Molecule: transfer RNA, 75 nt
Filed under: Candidatus Latescibacterota bacterium
Lineage: Bacteria; Pseudomonadati; Candidatus Latescibacterota
Also listed under: 1 other name
Description: Candidatus Latescibacteria bacterium tRNA-Val
Rfam family: tRNA
About the family: Transfer RNA (tRNA) molecules are approximately 80 nucleotides in length. Their secondary structure includes four short double-helical elements and three loops (D, anti-codon, and T loops). Further hydrogen bonds mediate the characteristic L-shaped molecular structure. tRNAs have two regions of fundamental functional importance: the anti-codon, which is responsible for specific mRNA codon recognition, and the 3' end, to which the tRNAs corresponding amino acid is attached (by aminoacyl-tRNA synthetases). tRNAs cope with the degeneracy of the genetic code in two manners: having more than one tRNA (with a specific anti-codon) for a particular amino acid; and 'wobble' base-pairing, i.e. permitting non-standard base-pairing at the 3rd anti-codon position.
Source: RNAcentral
GGGGGCUUAACUCAGCGGUAGAGUGCUAUCCUCACACGAUAGAAGUCGCAGGUUCAAAUCCUGCAGUCCCCACCA